CUUCCGGGGAAUGCCCCACAGCUCCCCAAAACUGCAGAGCGCCUCCAAAGAAAAGGGAGGUGAUCGGGAGAGUCUCUUCAGCCGAGCAACGAGCAGCCCUGGGUGGCAGCAGCACCAAUUCCCGAAAGGCUGGAGCCAACUCCGGGGAUUUUGUGCAUCCCCUGGAAGCCCAAGGUCAAUCCCUGAGCACCAGCAGAGCUCCGCGUCCCUCCCGCUGCCCGGAACGGCAUCACCUCUCCUCUCCCGGCCUUCAGCGCUCCUCCUGCUCUCUCGGAGCCCAGGGAGCAUCCCCGGCUCCAAACAAACCCAUCGGGAGCCGGGAGAUCGGUGCGGGCAGAACGCAAAUAAAUAAGUGCUAAUUACUG
This is a non-coding RNA of Lonchura striata (white-rumped munia), 365 nucleotides long. The record is from RefSeq and is a predicted model, not a curated record. Lineage: Eukaryota; Metazoa; Chordata; Aves; Passeriformes; Estrildidae.